RNAcentral lists this ribosomal RNA (267 nucleotides) under uncultured Alistipes sp. RNAcentral describes it as "partial 16S ribosomal RNA". It matches the Rfam family "Bacterial small subunit ribosomal RNA", at positions 525 to 791 of the family's 1533-position model. Lineage: Bacteria; Pseudomonadati; Bacteroidota; Bacteroidia; Bacteroidales; Rikenellaceae. The record is from RNAcentral.
ACGGAGGAUUCAAGCGUUAUCCGGAUUUAUUGGGUUUAAAGGGUGCGUAGGCGGUUUGAUAAGUUAGAGGUGAAAUUUCGGGGCUCAACCCUGAACGUGCCUCUAAUACUGUUGAGCUAGAGAGUAGUUGCGGUAGGCGGAAUGUAUGGUGUAGCGGUGAAAUGCUUAGAGAUCAUACAGAACACCGAUUGCGAAGGCAGCUUACCAAACUAUAUCUGACGUUGAGGCACGAAAGCGUGGGGAGCAAACAGGAUUAGAUACCCUUGU